UACGUAGGGAGCAAGCGUUGUUCGGAUUUACUGGGCGUAAAGGGCGCGUAGGCGGCGUGUUAAGUCAGCUGUGAAAUCUCCAAGCUCAACUUGGAACGGCCAGCUGAUACUGAUGUGCUAGAGUGCAGAAGGGGCAAUCGGAAUUCUUGGUGUAGCGGUGAAAUGCGUAGAUAUCAGGAGGAACACCGGUGGCGAAGGCGGGUCUCUGGGCAACAACUGACGCUGAGGAGCGAAAGCUAGGGGAGCGAACAGG
RNAcentral lists this ribosomal RNA (253 nucleotides) under uncultured bacterium. Its description in RNAcentral is "partial 16S ribosomal RNA". It matches the Rfam family "Bacterial small subunit ribosomal RNA", at positions 524 to 776 of the family's 1533-position model. The record is from RNAcentral.